RNAcentral lists this ribosomal RNA (496 nucleotides) under uncultured bacterium. RNAcentral describes it as "partial 16S ribosomal RNA". It matches the Rfam family "Bacterial small subunit ribosomal RNA", at positions 28 to 506 of the family's 1533-position model. The record is from RNAcentral.
GAUGAACGCUGGCGGCGUGCCUAAUACAUGCAAGUCGAGCGAACGGACGAGAAGCUUGCUUCUCUGAUGUUAGCGGCGGACGGGUGAGUAACACGUGGAUAACCUACCUAUAAGACUGGGAUAACUUCGGGAAACCGGAGCUAAUACCGGAUAAUAUUUUGAACCGCAUGGUUCAAAAGUGAAAGACGGUCUUGCUGUCACUUAUAGAUGGAUCCGCGCUGCAUUAGCUAGUUGGUAAGGUAACGGCUUACCAAGGCAACGAUGCAUAGCCGACCUGAGAGGGUGAUCGGCCACACUGGAACUGAGACACGGUCCAGACACCUACGGGAGGCAGCAGUAGGGAAUCUUCCGCAAUGGGCGAAAGCCUGACGGAGCAACGCCGCGUGAGUGAUGAAGGUCUUCGGAUCGUAAAACUCUGUUAUUAGGGAAGAACAUAUGUGUAAGUAACUGUGCACAUCUUGACGGUACAUAAUCAGAAAGCCACGGCUAACUACGU